UUAAAGGUUUCUGAUGCUUUUAUUUUCAGAGGCAAUCAGCAAUUCUGGCUGCCUUCAUUGUGGGUUCAUUCAGGGCAGCUUCAUCUGAACUGGCUUGCAGGGGCUGUAGCUACCUCCUAUUCUGUAAGUCAAGGCCUUUGUAGUCCUUUCAGGUGGGAAGAAAGGGAGUGGGUUGCUCUGCCAUUGCUGAAAAAUGCAGCCCAGGAACGCAGCCGUGCGUGGUCCCCAGAGGCUCCCCAGGCUGCCUCAUCCUGCCACUGCUGGCUCAGCAGCGUUCCCUGAAACUGAGGGCUGCCCAGCCCCACGAGCAGUGAUGGGACACAGUUCUUGGACUGCAGCUCUCCCUGUGUCCCCUGUGGGAUGCAUUCUGGGUUGGGAUGGGCUGGAAUGGGUGGCUGUGGGAUAGAACCUGGUGUGGAAGGGCAGGGAAGGAGCUGAACAGCUGCUCCCUCCUUUUCCUCCUGCCGUGGGCUUCAGGAAGCACCCUGAGAGGAGUCAGGUUCCUCCUGCUCCCACUCCCUUCAGGCCUGGAGUCUGUUUGGUGGAAAGAGUGAAAAGGACAGCGUAUUACAGACCAGGUAUGUGCCAUGGUCAGUAAUUUUCUCAUCCUUCUUUGACAAGCUCCCCCAAACCCUCUCUCACAGGAUCUCCAGACAGAGGCUGGAGAACAUCAGCCAUCCCUUUCAUGGAGCCAGCAGCCUCCCUGUGGACUCAGGUCCUGCCUCUCACAUGGCUGCAUGAGCAUUGCUCUCUCCCUGGCACCCUGCCCGGGCACUGCCACAGCUCAGUGGUGGCUCUGAGUCCUGAGGGCCUCAGCAGCAGAGACCCACUGCACCCUCAGAUUCUUGGCAUCCCCCUGCAACCCUGUGCCACCCACCCAGUGCCAGUCAACGUGCCACUCGCCCGAGACACGCCUGCAAUAGCUGGUCUGCACACUUUUGCCUCUGAAAGCAGAGCAGUGGGUGAUGCUGGAGAGCAGUGAGGCAGAGGGAAGGGGUGCAGGACUCCAGCUUGCCUCUCGCCGUGUGUCCCGCUGGCCGGGCGAGCUGUUUGCUUGUGCUGCUGCAGCCAGUCCUGGGAUGGUGCAAACCAGCGGCUGCCAAUUGACGUCAGAGGAGCACUGGUGGUUUGCGUGAGCUGAGGGACUGCUUCUACUCAAGCUUUCAAGGGAAGGGUCCAUGGGAAAGGUGAAGCUGGAAAAUGGGGCCACCUCCUCAUAUGAAGCACAGAGAAGAUGGAGUGCUGCUGACUGAUGGACCCCCUCCAAACCAAGAUGUGGUAAUUCAUAAGCCAAUGGCAUUGUUUUCAGAGAUGGUGCAAAUAUGUUCGAUGGGGAAAGCAGAAAAUGGACAAAUGUUGGUUGUUCUGUGAUAUAGAAGUCCUGGUGGAAGUCCCUGGAUUCAGCCCAGCAGAAGACAGAAUCAGGCCUCCCUAAUAGAUGGGAUACUAAGCCAAGACUGCACCAUGUGCCUGAUUCUCCCUUGGCAGGCAUUUUAUUUAGCUAACAACUUCUAUCCAAAGUCAGGACACAACAGCCUAAUCUAUGCUCUAGGUACAGCAUGGGAAAAUUUGUCUGUUGUGUUCCUAAAGGGAAGGAAAUAUCAGAAUCUGAAUACACAGGCAGCUCUUAUGAUAAUCCUUGGAGGCAAAGGGACAUGCAUGGGGGACUCAGGGCAAUUUCCAAAAAGCUUAUUAUUCUCACAGGAUGUUUGCAGAGGAAUCUCUCUGCGAGCUGCUGAAAAUGAACACGUUCCCAAAUAUCAAAGGUGAGCCAAAUGCAAGCACUGCCUCUGAGGGAGCACAAGACAGUGAGUGCUGAGAUUCCAUCAUCAGAUUAAUCACAUGCCAGACCUGGAAGCAAUUUCAGCAUCACAAAUACAACUGUGUGGUGGGCUCUGCCCAGGAACCAGGACUUGCCACUGGAAAACUGUUUUUUAACAGCUUCAGAGAGACAGGUACUGCAAUUGCUGCUUAAAUAGGAGAAAAGGGAAGUGGGGAGAGACAGUGUACAAUGACCUCAGAGCAUGGCAGCUCAUCCUCCUUCAUGCUCCUCAUAUGAGGAAGAGACAUUUUAGCAAUAUUACUGGCAAUAGUUGUCCUCUGUGACUAAAUUGAAAUAAAUAACAGGAAGACGGAUUAAGUUCCUCAUGAAAAACGCUGCUCAUAGUUAUCAGAGGUGGAAGCAGAGAGGUUUGCAGAGGUGGAUCAGGAGGCCCUUUUUGAGGGUGGUGGUGGCUCAGGCAUGAGCCCCUGCAGGGAACAGGAACCAUGGUGUGUCACGGCGUGGGCUGGGCGUGUGGGAGCAGAGGGCGUCACUACCCCGGGCUGCAGGGAGUAUUCUGUCAAAUGUCAGCACAGAGCCCAGGAACUCCACAGGAUGGCUCAAGAUUUUCCUGUGUGGCACUCACUGGCUGUUGCUGUCCCCCUGAAGGGCACAGCCACCCUCUCUUUGGGUGGCCUCCCUUUCUCAGGGACACAUGGUGUGCUGCGGGUACCCACAGCAGUCUCGGGAAGGGACUUCUGCCGAAAGCGGCUCUCACACCUCUUUCUUUAACAGGAUCCAGGGCUCAAGCAAGUGUGAAAUGAAAGAAGCAGCUGCUGAGAGGGAGGAAGGCAGAGAGGACUGCACACGUCUCCUCCUGUUUUCCACCCCAAGGGAGUUGCUUGCAGUGGUCA
Molecule: long non-coding RNA, 2676 nt
Organism: Serinus canaria (Common canary)
Lineage: Eukaryota; Metazoa; Chordata; Aves; Passeriformes; Fringillidae
Exons: 2
Source: RefSeq, a predicted model, not a curated record